This 24-nucleotide non-coding RNA is filed under the name Gossypium hirsutum (cotton). Lineage: Eukaryota; Viridiplantae; Streptophyta; Magnoliopsida; Malvales; Malvaceae. The record is from RNAcentral.
AUGACCCACAAAUGAUUGUGUGAC